This 358-nucleotide ribosomal RNA is filed under the name Oenococcus oeni. Its description in RNAcentral is "bacterial SSU rRNA". It matches the Rfam family "Bacterial small subunit ribosomal RNA", at positions 1182 to 1533 of the family's 1533-position model. Lineage: Bacteria; Bacillati; Bacillota; Bacilli; Lactobacillales; Lactobacillaceae. The record is from RNAcentral.
ACGUCAGAUCAUCAUGCCCCUUAUGACCUGGGCAACACACGUGCUACAAUGGGAAGUACAACGAGUCGCAAACUGGCGACGGUAAGCUAAUCUCUUAAAACUUCUCUCAGUUCGGACUGGAGUCUGCAACUCGACUCCACGAAGGCGGAAUCGCUAGUAAUCGCGAAUCAGCAUGUCGCGGUGAAUACGUUCCCGGGUCUUGUACACACCGCCCGUCAAAUCAUGGGAGUCGGAAGUACCUAAAGUCGCUUGGCUAACUUUUAGAGGCCGGUGCCUAAGGUAAAAUCGAUGACUGGGAUUAAGUCGUAACAAGGUAGCCGUAGGAGAACCUGCGGCUGGAUCACCUCCUUUCUAAGGA